RNAcentral lists this ribosomal RNA (433 nucleotides) under uncultured bacterium. RNAcentral describes it as "partial 16S ribosomal RNA". It matches the Rfam family "Bacterial small subunit ribosomal RNA", at positions 29 to 507 of the family's 1533-position model. The record is from RNAcentral.
AACGAACGCUGGCGGCAUGCCUAACACAUGCAAGUCGAACGAGACCUUCGGGUCUGGUGGCGCACGGGUGCGUAACGCCUUGAAACCUGCGCUUCGUUUCGGAAUAACUCCCCGAAAGGGGAGCUAAUUCCGGAUAAUCUCCUCGGACCAAAGAUUUAUCGCCUUUGGAUGGUCCCGCGUUGGGUUAGCUAGUUGGUAGGGUAAAAGCCUACCAAGGCUACGAUCCAUAGCUGAUCUGAGAGGAGGAUCAGGCACACUGGGACUGAGACACGGCCCAGACUCGUACGGGAGGCAGCGGUGGGGAAUAUGGGACAAUGGGCGAGAGUCUGAGACGGCAAUGUCGCGUGUGUGAUGAAGGCCUUAGGGUGGUAAAGCUCUUUGACCCGGGAUGAUAAUGACAGUACCGGGAGAAUAAGCACCGGCUAACUCCGUG